AUGCAAGUCGAGCGAUGAAGCUUCCUUCGGGAAGUGGAUUAGCGGCGGACGGGUGAGUAACACGUGGGUAACCUGCCUCAAAGUGGGGGAUAGCCUUCCGAAAGGAAGAUUAAUACCGCAUAACAUAAGAGAAUCGCAUGAUUUUCUUAUCAAAGAUUUAUUGCUUUGAGAUGGACCCGCGGCGCAUUAGCUAGUUGGUAAGGUAACGGCUUACCAAGGCAACGAUGCGUAGCCGACCUGAGAGGGUGAUCGGCCACAUUGGAACUGAGACACGGUCCAGACUCCUACGGGAGGCAGCAGUGGGGAAUAUUGCGCAAUGGGGGAAACCCUGACGCAGCAACGCCGCGUGGGUGAUGAAGGUCUUCGGAUUGUAAAGCCCUGUUUUCUGGGACGAUAAUGACGGUACCAGAGGAGGAAGCCACGGCUAACUACGUGCCAGCAGCCGCGGUAAUACGUAGGUGGCGAGCGUUGUCCGGAUUUACUGGGCGUAAAGGGUGCGUAGGCGGAUGUUUAAGUGGGAUGUGAAAUCCCCGGGCUUAACCUGGGGGCUGCAUUCCAAACUGGAUAUCUAGAGUGCAGGAGAGGAAAGCGGAAUUCCUAGUGUAGCGGUGAAAUGCGUAGAGAUUAGGAAGAACACCAGUGGCGAAGGCGGCUUUCUGGACUGUAACUGACGCUGAGGCACGAAAGCGUGGGUAGCAAACAGGAUUAGAUACCCUGGUAGUCCACGCCGUAAACGAUGGAUACUAGGUGUAGGGGGUAUCAACUCCCCCUGUGCCGCAGUUAACACAAUAAGUAUCCCGCCUGGGGAGUACGGUCGCAAGAUUAAAACUCAA
This 833-nucleotide ribosomal RNA is filed under the name Clostridium sp. TFSAN1. Its description in RNAcentral is "bacterial SSU rRNA". It matches the Rfam family "Bacterial small subunit ribosomal RNA", at positions 55 to 904 of the family's 1533-position model. Lineage: Bacteria; Bacillati; Bacillota; Clostridia; Eubacteriales; Clostridiaceae. The record is from RNAcentral.